CAGUCAAUGGAGGAGACACCGUCUUCAAGAUAUCUUUCCUGCUGCAAUGCAUCCUGGUAACAUUUUUUCAUCUACCCUUGCGUUUUGGUUAAAGUCCCAUCUUCAAGCCAAAACCAUAAUUCUCUAAAUAUUUUCUAUAUUUGUGUAUAUUAUAAUAUGAAAUGUUAUAAAUCCUUAAAUAAAUUGUGUACAUUUUCUAAAA
Molecule: long non-coding RNA, 202 nt
Organism: Anoplophora glabripennis (Asian longhorned beetle)
Lineage: Eukaryota; Metazoa; Arthropoda; Insecta; Coleoptera; Cerambycidae
Exons: 2
Source: RefSeq, a predicted model, not a curated record